This is a non-coding RNA of Ictidomys tridecemlineatus (thirteen-lined ground squirrel), 1558 nucleotides long. Lineage: Eukaryota; Metazoa; Chordata; Mammalia; Rodentia; Sciuridae. The record is from RefSeq and is a predicted model, not a curated record.
UACGUAGGACGUCCUCUAAAGCAACUUCCGUGGUGCUAGGUUAGGGGCUAGGGGUGGUGCUGACCUUGAGAGGUGCGGGGAAGGCGCAGGCGCAGCACAGGUAGGUGGGCGGGCGGAGCGCCCUUGCCGUGCCUAAGACGAUUCUGAGGUAGGUUGGGUGGUUUCGGAAGGAGCGCAUUCUCCCUCUGGGAUAUGACGGAAGCACAAGUAGGUGGCUCGGGUGAGAGUCGACCCCUAUAUCCAGCGGAUUUAGUGAGGAUAAAGACCAUAUUGGGUCUUGUUCUUCCUGAUACAACGCCGUAAUUGCCUCGGUUUGUAGCCAGUGCCCUGUCUCACUGUACCCUUUCGCUUUUCUGAUUUCGUCCCUUUGGGGAGUCUCGCCUUCUCGUUAGACCUGUUGUCCUUCUGUGGUUUUCAUUUCCUGUCUUAGUGUGUUCAGCUCUACUCCCUCAGGUCAAUGGAAUCUGACCGUGAGAAGUUUCUUCAUUAUUCAGACACCAGCUGGAGCCAGAAGGACAUCUACGAAGAACGGAGUAACCAGGAAGAGAAUUCUACCUGUUCAUUAUAUUCCAAUGUGGACGUUUUCUUUUUGGCUAUUAAAAAAAAAAAGGAAACGAAAUUACCAAGUGGAAAGAAAGGAAAUUACCCCCAGUCAACUAUUUAUGCCUUUUUAUUAUAAUGAGAUAUAGUCCUGGAGGCAGGCUUGAAAUGGAGUCAAGUUUUGUCAUGAAGUUGGAACUGAGACCAGAAGCUAAGAAGCUUCAGAAGAAGUUAGAAAUGGUUAUGGAUUUUCAGUUUCACCCUUCUUACCAGAGUAUCUGAAGGGAAUGAUAUGAAUGUCGUAAACGACCCAAAGACCUUGGGAAUUAGAGGUCUGAACGAUCCAAAAGAAGCAGGCAUGGAGCAGUUGCUUUCUAUUAGAAAGGGGGUUCAGAGACUGGUUGUGUGAGUUAUGUUGUCUUUUACUUUAAAUUUUGUGUGUAUUGAGGGGAUACAUAGCAUUAUAAGGUGGGAAGAUACAGAAAUCCUAAAUACUGACAGAAACAGCUGGAAGCAGGAGGGGGCUGAGGAAUAGUUUGUAAAACAAAUUCUGCUGAGGAUCAAUCCAGAACUUCCCUGAGGGUUCAACUUCUGCUGUGUAGGGACUAGGUUGUAAAUAGACAAGCCCCAGGGCAUCUACAGAUGGUUAAGUGUGUUAGAGAGGGGUUGUAGUUGUCUGCUAGUGGAUCUGUGGGAAGCAGGUGCUAUCCUUGAGGAAGAAAAGGUGGAGAAGGAAAGUGGCUAUCAGCCUGUCAGUGACAACACAUCCUGUGAAGUCUUACUCUUUCAUUUCUGACAGUGUGGUUCUUCUUAUAUCUGUCCUCAACCUGGCAGCCUCAUUGAGGUUCACAAAGCAUCUCUUUCUAUGUGACAGUAACGUUGAAAUUAUUAUCAGGAUAGAUUCUCUUCUUGCCAGGGUAAACCAAGAAAAUAAAUAAUUUUUUGUUAUCUGCUUAUCAUUUUUUAUAUGCCAUGGGGUUCUAUAUUUGUUAUUAAGUAUAAAGCACAUUGAUAAAUA